This 272-nucleotide ribosomal RNA is filed under the name uncultured prokaryote. RNAcentral's name for it is "partial 16S ribosomal RNA". It matches the Rfam family "Bacterial small subunit ribosomal RNA", at positions 524 to 794 of the family's 1533-position model. The record is from RNAcentral.
UACGUAGGUGGAAAGCGUUAUCCGGAUUUACUGGGUGUAAAGGGCGUGUAGGCGGGUUGGCAAGUCAGGUGUGAAAUUCAUAGGCUUAACUUAUGACGGUCAUCUGAAACUGCUGAUCUUGAGUGUCGGAGAGGAAAGUGGAAUUCCUAGUGUAGCGGUAAAAUGCGUAGAUAUUAGGAGGAACACCGGUGGCGAAGGCGACUUUCUGGACGAUAACUGACGCUGAGGCGCGAAAGCGUGGGGAGGCAAACAGGAUUAGAUAUCCGCGUAGU